AUACGGAGGAUGCGAGCGUUAUCCGGAUUUAUUGGGUUUAAAGGGUGCGUAGGUGGUGAUUUAAGUCAGCGGUGAAAGUUUGUGGCUCAACCAUAAAAUUGCCGUUGAAACUGGGUUACUUGAGUGUGUUUGAGGUAGGCGGAAUGCGUGGUGUAGCGGUGAAAUGCAUAGAUAUCACGCAGAACUCCGAUUGCGAAGGCAGCUUACUAAACCAUAACUGACACUGAAGCACGAAAGCGUGGGGAUCAAACAGGAUUAGAUACCCUGGUAGUCCACGCAGUAAACGAUGAUUACUAGGAGUUUGCGAUACAAUGUAAGCUCUACAGCGAAAGCGUUAAGUAAUCCACCUGGGGAGUACGCCGGCAACGGUGAAACUCAAAUGAAUUGACGGGG
This 393-nucleotide ribosomal RNA is filed under the name uncultured bacterium. Its description in RNAcentral is "partial 16S ribosomal RNA". It matches the Rfam family "Bacterial small subunit ribosomal RNA", at positions 523 to 918 of the family's 1533-position model. The record is from RNAcentral.